This 300-nucleotide signal recognition particle RNA is filed under the name Saimiri boliviensis boliviensis (Bolivian squirrel monkey). Its description in RNAcentral is "Metazoan signal recognition particle RNA (ENSSBOG00000010593.1)". It matches the Rfam family "Metazoan signal recognition particle RNA". From Rfam's summary of the family: The signal recognition particle (SRP) is a universally conserved ribonucleoprotein. It is involved in the co-translational targeting of proteins to membranes. The record is from RNAcentral. Lineage: Eukaryota; Metazoa; Chordata; Mammalia; Primates; Cebidae.
ACCUGGUGCAGUGGUGCGUGCCUGUAGUCCCAGCUACUCGGGAGGCUGAGAUGGGAGGAUUGCUUGAGCCCAGGAGUUUUGGGCUGCAGUGCACUAUGCCCAAUCAGGUGUCUGCACUAAGUUCAGCAUCAAUAUGGUAACCUCCGGGGAGCGGGGGACCACUGGGUUGCCUAAGGAGGGGUGAACCGGCCCAGGCUGGAAAUGGAGCAGGUCAAAACUCCCAUGCUGAUCAGUAGUGGGAUCGCGCCUGUUAAUAGCCACUGCACUCCAGCCUGGGCAACAUAGCGAGAACUCGUCUCU